AUGUGGAUAUUUUACGAGCAAAAGAUUCAAGAAGUGCGCAGAGCAUUCAAAUUCCCCCACAAAAUUCAGUUGAAUAUGGCAUCCUCUCAACAUAAUGGGAUCCGGACACCAUUUCAGGACCUAACGAACACUAGAAAUUCUGGUUCAGGCGCCGACGACGAAGGGAACAAAACCUAUAUGUAUAUCAUGUUGCGUGUGUGUCAACUGCCACAAGUGCCGACAUCGCCAAUAUUACGGCUACCUGGGAAGCCGGCAGCCAACAGUAUCACCGGAAGCAGGGGCGGGAGCAACAAUGUAUGCGGUAGCCUACAACAGCGGAUGGGGUUACUGGGAUGGGCACGGGAGGCAGCGGCAUAG
RNAcentral lists this ribosomal RNA (357 nucleotides) under Triticum aestivum (bread wheat). Its description in RNAcentral is "partial small subunit ribosomal RNA". The record is from RNAcentral. Lineage: Eukaryota; Viridiplantae; Streptophyta; Magnoliopsida; Poales; Poaceae.